Molecule: long non-coding RNA, 347 nt
Filed under: Setaria viridis
Lineage: Eukaryota; Viridiplantae; Streptophyta; Magnoliopsida; Poales; Poaceae
Description: long non-coding RNA (SVIR_LNC005090)
Source: RNAcentral
CGGUAUCCUGCUUGCAUUGUUGGCAUAUGCUACAUGUGCAGGUAAUCAUCAAUCAAAUAGCCAUCAAGCAAUGUGUGGCUGGAUCAUAGCCUUGCAUUGGACAUGCUGCUAGUACCUGAUGCUCUGGACUCUCAAGUCUCAGGGACGACAGAGAAGAAAGAAACAGACGUGGAGUGGACGAGGGCCAGCCAGCCGGCAACGGAUAGAUAAGCUUAUCACCUACUUGGGAGGCCGCUGAGUGGUGACACCUGGAAAGCUCCGGAUUCACCCUGGCUGCUCCUGUCCGACGUGGACGCUGACAUGGCAUGCAAUUCAGGUGAUAUACGCUGAAUUUCCUUUUGGCACGU